Molecule: unclassified non-coding RNA, 3843 nt
Filed under: Harpegnathos saltator (Jerdon's jumping ant)
Lineage: Eukaryota; Metazoa; Arthropoda; Insecta; Hymenoptera; Formicidae
Description: uncharacterized LOC105186992, transcript variant X6
Source: RNAcentral
UCGCUCUAACCACCCCUGCCCGCGCUCCCUCCCCCGUGCCGAGGCAACCAACGAGCCGGGGCCGCUUUCGCUUUGUGCGCGCCGGGGCGGCGGUACAUCAAAGCCUUCUAGUUCCCGCUCCGGCCUUUGACGGUCGCGUCGCGGCCGCUCGCUCAGUCAUCGCUCGGUUGUAGGCGAUGCCGGCGCGCCGUGCAUGAGCUCGCUCGCUCUCUGGCGCGCGCGCGCGCGUCCGCACGAGGAGCGCGAGCUCCUCGGGAAUCGUCGCCGCGAAUUCCGCCGUUCACCGCGUCCGUCCGCCGAUCGGCAUCGGCGGGGGGCGGCCUCCCGACGCCGGCCGAUCACCAGCUACCUUAGCCCCGUGUGUUCGCCUGCUCUGCAGCACCACCACCAGCAGCGAAUCGGAGCGUGGAUUUCGAGCGGGUGAGAGAGAGAGAGGGAGAGAGAGAGAAGAGAGAGAGAGAGAGAGAAAGAGAGAGAGAGAGAGAGUCGGCGCGCGAUGUCGCCUCGAGGUGGCAAGUGCGCGCGUGUCGGCAAGGUGGCCACCAAGGGGCGCCAAACGCGCGCUCAGCACGCCUCCUUGGACACCGUGCAGCAAGUCGAAGGAGCAACGACCACGAUAACGCCAACCACAACGACAACGACGACGACGACGACGACGACGAUGAUACGAAGCACGGUGACGACAACCGCGAACGCGACCACGACGAUGGCGACGUCGACGUUGAUGACGUCAAGCGGAACGGCAGUCGCGACGACGAGAAUGGACAAGCCCGCGGUAAGCACGGCGUGCGAGGGUCGAUCGCAAUGGUCAGGGCGCAUGCGCCAGUCCCUGGAGAGCAGCUCCGAGCCCCGUGAAAACGGUACCCCGGUGGUGCAUCGUUACCCGGAGAGGCAGCGACGACGAGAGAGACACGCGACCGGGAGGAAACAUCGAACGACGCGCAACAACGAGAACGCCACCGCGGUGGCCGCCGGAUCCUCGUGCUCGUCCACGUCCUUGUCGUCGCCACUGGCGCUCUCCUCGCCGUCUUCCUGCGCGUCGUCUCGCCGCUCGACCUCGCCGCCAUCCAGCACCUCUUCGCCGGCACGGUCCUACAGCUCGACCGCGUCCACGGCCGCGAGCGAUCCGUUGGCGAUCAAGGCGGAGGACGUGCGGAUCAGCAUCGAUCACGGCGACCAAGGGAUCGGCAAGCGGGAGGUGGGCGCGAGCCAAGAUCCGGAGGAGGAGGAGGAGGAGGAGAAGACCAACGGACAGGACAACAACAGGGUUCAUGGAGCUGCGGAAACAUCGACCACACCAUCGGUGCCAGCCUCGUCCACCGUCGUGUCCUCCUCGUCGUCACCUUUCCCCUCCCCGGUGUCCACGUCGUCGACGUCCUGCCGGACGUCGACGCCGCGCGGUUACUGCGACGUCGCGCACGCGUCCUCGUCUGCCCUCGAGAGGCUGAGGAACACCCUGGAGAGCUACGACCGCAGCCGUAUCUACCUAGCCCACGUCUGCUACUUGGACUGGCGGGACCUGCCAGGUAAACGGCGUGGCGCCGGUGUCGGCGGCGUCAACGCCAGCAGCCGCGACACGAGGAGCGAGCGGGUGUGGGUGGUGGGGGCCGCGGAUCACGAGGGUCACCAUCGGACGCGGUUGUUGGUGGCCGGUCGUCAUUGGCGGCCACGUUGCCUGCGGAAGGUCAACAUGCUGAGCCAACCGGUGGUGUACGCCGGCGGCGGCAGGGGUUCCCUGACCGCCGAUCUCUUCCUCUGGUGGUUCCACCGCGAGUUCGCCGUCACGGCAAUGGCGAUGCACCCGGACGGCGCCGUCUUGGUGGCCGAGAGCGCCGAUUACCUGCCGCCAGAGGGUGACUGCGUCGCCGCGGACGGCUUGGUGCGGCUGUUUGUGGUGCCCAAGGACUGCAUGGAGACGCGACUGGUGGUCCGCGAGCUCAGGGUGCGCUUGGCCACCGGUGUGCUCUCGAGGGCGCGUUGCGGCGUCUUUCGCGAUAACAAUGCCGCCGCCGCCGCCGCUGCUGCCGCUGCCGCCGCGGUCAACUCCGGCCCCGAAGAGGCCGAUCACAACCGAUUGGACGCGUAUCUCAGGAGGUUCACGCUCAAGGAGGCGUUCGCGGACCUCCAUCGCGCUUGGCUCAGCGUCCGCUCGGAAACGUUCGCUCGCAGCUGGACGCUACCGCGCGACCGCGAGGAUCACUCGCUCGCGGGAUGCUCCAGCAACGGCGCCAUCUUGGCGCCGCGGAUCUACAUGGUGGAUCAAGAGGAGGACAGGAUGUUGUUGGUCGAGUUACAGAGCCUAGCGCGGGAGGCCGGCCUCGAGGUCGGCGACGAGGAACUCAGUAGAUGGAUCGUCGACGAGGAGAGCGCGCUGGCGCGUUUGGUCAGGGAGAGGGAACAGGACGAGGAACAGCAGCAGCAACAGCAGCAGCAGCAGCAGCAGCAACAACAGUGUCGCGUGAAGGUAGAAUUCGAGGACAGGUGGUCGGAUCGCAAUGGCGACGACGACGAAGACGGCAACGACGGUACCGCCGACGACGACGACGCUGAAGACGAACCCACCGCCGAGGAAGCCGUCGGGCUACUCUCGAGGGUACUGACCUGGAUGGAGAGGGAACCCCUCGAUCCGGGACUCCUGCUGGCGGUCAGAUCGAUGCGCGAUACCGCCGCACUUAUGGCGAGCAAGAUGGGCCUGGCGGGGACGCAUCCGAGCGGGCUUCCCUUCUUCUGCCCGAACGGGGACCACCUGACGCAACCUCCGCCUGCUCACAUGGGCAUACCGCCGUAUGCGCCACUGGACGCGGGCAAAGCAGCCGCCGCGGCCGGUGAGUACUACUGGCCAUCAGUCAGCCAAGGGCAGCUACCCGAGCAGCCCUGGAAACAUCUUCUAACCGCAGCAGCCUCCACAGGUCUCUCGAGGGCGCCGAUGUACCCGUUUUCGACAAGCCAGUAUCCGUAUCCCAUGCUUAGUCCGGAAAUGACGCAAGUCGCCGCUUCCUGGCACACACCGAGCAUGUACCCCAUCUCGCCGGCGAACGCCGGCUUCCGGAGUCCGUACCCCACGAGUUUACCCAUCACCAGUUCCAGCUUAUCAAGUGAUCUCUACCGGUUUUCGCCGACCGGCCUGAUGCCCCCGCACCCAGGACUAAGUCCGCACGCACACGCGCUGGCAUCGCACGCGCUGGUAUCGUCGGCGCCGAAGGCGGAUCACUCCACCUUGGAUCACAAUCACAGGUCUACGAUAGAACAGAAAAACUCCACGUCGUUGCCUACGGACAACGCGAAAGCUCAGGACACGGGCCAGCAAAACAAUCAAGAUAAAAAGAAACCCCAUAUAAAAAAGCCUUUGAACGCGUUUAUGCUGUACAUGAAGGAGAUGAGGGCGAAGGUGGUAGCAGAAUGUACCUUAAAAGAGAGUGCCGCAAUCAACCAAAUAUUGGGAAGACGAUGGCACUCGCUAAGCCGGGAGGAGCAGGCGCGGUAUUAUGAGGCAGCCAGGCAGGAGCGCCAUCUGCACCAGCAACGAUACCCCGGCUGGAGUGCCAGGGAUAACUACGGAUAUGGCAGCAAGAAGAAGAAGAGGAAGAAAGAGCGCUCCGCAGAUCCCACCGGAGUGGCACGCGCUAGGGCGAGAGGAACAGGCCAAGUAUUAUGAGUUGGCGCGACGGGAGAGACAGUUGCACAUGCAGCUGUACCCUGACUGGUCUUCCCGCGCAAAUACCAACCGAACUAAGAAGAGGAAGCGCAAACAAGACACAAACAGUGAUCCUGGAGGUAACAACAUGAAGAAGUGCCGCGCCAGGUACGGAUUAGACCAGCAAAACCAAUGGUGCAAACCCUGCA